Phalacrocorax carbo (great cormorant) is the source of this 143-nucleotide non-coding RNA. The record is from RefSeq and is a predicted model, not a curated record. NCBI's taxonomy places the organism in Eukaryota, Metazoa, Chordata, Aves, Suliformes, Phalacrocoracidae.
CUGCAGCCAAUUAAGCCGGUCGUGGCCCCCCCGCCGUGGGGUCCCGGCGUGCACUGGCUGCGCACAGCAAAACCCCCCCCGGCUGUGUAGGGUGCCCCGUCCCCUCCCCUGGCGGGGCACCCCAAGGGGCCGGGGGCACACCC